CGCGUAACCGAAAAGCUGCUGAUUCUGGGAUCGCGGAAAAUGAAAGAACAAGACGGAGGCAAGUAAAGGGAAAGAGAAUGGAGAAUGGUGAGCGGUUGUAGUGGUAGACUGUUAGGAGGGAGGUAGGGGGGCAAUGGCUCACCUACCUGCCGGUCGAGAGCUCAGUCGGUGUCCGCCAGGUUGAAAAUCCGUGACUUCUCCCGUUCGUUUCGUCGCGACUUCUUAAAGUUUCGAUAAAAAACGCGCGAAAAACGUCACGAGCGAAAACGUGGGAUGCGACGGACGUCGCACCGUCAACCGUCGUUCUUUCUCGGUGUUCGUUAAGGUGUUCGCUAUUUUAAAUUCGCGGUGAACAGCCGGCAUAUACGUCGCGUUUAUCCGGUAUUGUCAGAAAAACCUUCCGGUCGUGUUUUUCACGUGCAGACACGGUAACAGUGUACGGGAGCGCAUACUGACAAGCGCGUAUUUCGGUACAGGACGUGUGUGUGUGUUUACGUAUGGUGAUUGUGUUUACCGUGUUACGAUUGACACUGUGUAACGCGGAAAUUUCAAAUUGCGACGAUUGAACGUUGUUUUUGGCCGCGACGUAAACAUGCUCAGAUCGGAGAACAACAUUUGGCGGCAUUAGGUGACACCGGCGUACACACACAGCGAUAACUGCACACUAGGAAUCAUGGCGAGGACGAUUAGCUGGUUUUGCUGCCUCUUUGUGGUUUUAUGUUUUCGGGACGUUGCUUCGAAAACUGCCUUGUGCGAGGUGGAGUCAGGACAAUCCAAUAUUAUUCUUGACAUCGAGGAGAGUAGAGGGGAUG
Molecule: long non-coding RNA, 812 nt
Organism: Megachile rotundata (alfalfa leafcutting bee)
Lineage: Eukaryota; Metazoa; Arthropoda; Insecta; Hymenoptera; Megachilidae
Gene: Cad99C
Source: RefSeq, a predicted model, not a curated record